UGGCCUUGACAUAGUAGAGACUUUCCAGAGAUGGAUUGGUGCCUUCGGGAAUCUACAUACAGGUGCUGCAUGGCUGUCGUCAGCUCGUGUCGUGAGAUGUUGGGUUAAGUCCCGCAACGAGCGCAACCCUUUUCCUUACUUGCCAGCAUUUCGGAUGGGAACUUUAAGGAUACUGCCAGUGACAAACUGGAGGAAGGCGGGGACGACGUCAAGUCAUCAUGGCCCUUACGGCCAGGGG
Molecule: ribosomal RNA, 238 nt
Filed under: uncultured bacterium
Lineage: Bacteria
Description: partial 16S ribosomal RNA
Rfam family: Bacterial small subunit ribosomal RNA
Source: RNAcentral